AAAACUCAAAGGAAUUGACGGGACCCGCACAAGCAGCGGAGCGUGUGGUUUAAUUCGUUGCUACACGAAGAACCUUACCUGGGUUUGACAUAUAGGUUGUAGGGAACUGAAAAGGGACCGACCCUUCGGGGAGCCUAUACAGGUGUUGCAUGGCUGUCGUCAGCUCGUGUCGUGAGAUGUUCGGUUAAGUCCGCUAACGAGCGCAACCCUCGUCGUAUGUUAUAUGUGUCAUACGAGACUGCCGGUAAAAGCCGGAGGAAGGUGAGGAUGAUGUCAAGUCAGCAUGACCUUUAUAUCCAGGGCUACACACACGCUACAAUGGUCUGUACAAUGGGUAGCCAAGCCGCGAGGCGGAGCCAAUCCUGAAAGCAGGCCUCAGUUCAGAUUGCAGUCUGCAACUCGACUGCAUGAAGCCGGAGUUGCUAGUAACCGCAGGUCAGCAAUACUGCGGUGAAUACGUUCCCGGGUCUU
This 471-nucleotide ribosomal RNA is filed under the name uncultured Anaerolineaceae bacterium. RNAcentral describes it as "bacterial SSU rRNA". It matches the Rfam family "Bacterial small subunit ribosomal RNA", at positions 896 to 1382 of the family's 1533-position model. The record is from RNAcentral. Lineage: Bacteria; Bacillati; Chloroflexota; Anaerolineae; Anaerolineales; Anaerolineaceae.